GCCUGCCUUCGAGUAGGACUUAUGCGGUACUCGCCGCGUAGACCCUAGAACGGCAAUGAUUAAACAAAGGAGAAAUCAUUAUG
Molecule: non-coding RNA, 83 nt
Submitted as: unclassified sequences
Source: Rfam